RNAcentral lists this ribosomal RNA (253 nucleotides) under uncultured bacterium. RNAcentral's name for it is "partial 16S ribosomal RNA". It matches the Rfam family "Bacterial small subunit ribosomal RNA", at positions 524 to 776 of the family's 1533-position model. The record is from RNAcentral.
UACGUAGGGGGCGAGCGUUGUCCGGAUUUAUUGGGCGUAAAGAGCGUGUAGGCGGCCAGGUAGGUCGGUUGUGAAAACUGGAGGCUUAACCUUCAGACGUCGACCGAAACCAUCUGGCUAGAGUCCGGAAGAGGAGAGUGGAAUUCCUGGUGUAGCGGUGAAAUGCGCAGAUAUCAGGAAGAACACCCGUGGCGAAGGCGGCUCUCUGGGACGGUACUGACGCUGAGACGCGAAAGCGUGGGUAGCAAACAGG